AUGAAACACUCCUACGGGAGGCAGCAGUGAGGAAUAUUGGUCAAUGGUCGGAAGACUGAACCAGCCAUGCCGCGUGCAGGAAGAAUGCCUUAUGGGUUGUAAACUGCUUUUAUAUGGGAAGAAUAAGGCGUACGUGUACGUUGAUGACGGUACCAUAUGAAUAAGCAUCGGCUAACUCCGUGCCAGCAGCCGCGGUAAUACGGAGGAUGCGAGCGUUAUUCGGAAUCAUUGGGUUUAAAGGGUCUGUAGGCGGGCUAUUAAGUCAGGGGUGAAAGGUUUCAGCUUAACUGAGAAAUUGCCUUUGAUACUGGUAGUCUUGAAUAUCUGUGAAGUUCUUGGAAUGUGUAGUGUAGCGGUGAAAUGCUUAGAUAUUACACAGAACACCGAUUGCGGAGGCAGGGGACUAACAGACGAUUGACGCUGAGAGACGAAAGCGUGGGGAGCGAACAGGAUUAGAAACCCUUGUAGUCCGAAGUUC
RNAcentral lists this ribosomal RNA (478 nucleotides) under uncultured bacterium. Its description in RNAcentral is "bacterial SSU rRNA". It matches the Rfam family "Bacterial small subunit ribosomal RNA", at positions 328 to 802 of the family's 1533-position model. The record is from RNAcentral.